UGAGGAAUAUUGGGCAAUGCCCGCAAGGGUGACCCAGCAACGCCGCGUGGAGGAUGAAUGUCGUAAGAUUGUAAACUCCUGUUAGAGGGGAAGAAUAGUACCGGUUGGACCGGUAUAUGACUGUACCCUCAGAGAAAGCCCCGGCUAACUACGUGCCAGCAGCCGCGGUAAUACGUAGGGGGCAAGCGUUGUCCGGAUUUACUGGGUGUAAAGGGCGCGCAGGCGGGAUAAAAAGUCAGUGGUGAAAUCCUACAGCUUAACUGUAGAACUGCCUUUGAUACUUUUAUUUUUGAGUUCGGGAGAGAGAGACGGAAUUCCAGGUGUAGUGGUGAAAUACGUAGAUAUCUGGAAGAACACCAGUUGCGAAGGCGGUCUCUUGGUCCGACACUGACGCUGAGGCGCGAAAGCGUGGGGAGCAAACA
Molecule: ribosomal RNA, 422 nt
Filed under: uncultured bacterium
Lineage: Bacteria
Description: bacterial SSU rRNA
Rfam family: Bacterial small subunit ribosomal RNA
Source: RNAcentral